UACGAAGGGGGCUAGCGUUGCUCGGAAUCACUGGGCGUAAAGGGUGCGUAGGCGGGUUUUUAAGUCAGGGGUGAAGUCCUGGAGCUCAACUCCAGAACUGCCUUUGAUACUGGCAAUCUCGAGUCCGGGAGAGGUGAGUGGAACUGCGAGUGUAGAGGUGAAAUUCGUAGAUAUUCGCAAGAACACCAGUGGCGAAGGCGGCUCACUGGCCCGGUACUGACGCUGAGGUGCGAAAGCGUGGGGAGCAAACAGG
This 253-nucleotide ribosomal RNA is filed under the name uncultured bacterium. RNAcentral's name for it is "partial 16S ribosomal RNA". It matches the Rfam family "Bacterial small subunit ribosomal RNA", at positions 524 to 776 of the family's 1533-position model. The record is from RNAcentral.